RNAcentral lists this long non-coding RNA (844 nucleotides) under Homo sapiens (human). Its description in RNAcentral is "HSALNT0235219". Lineage: Eukaryota; Metazoa; Chordata; Mammalia; Primates; Hominidae. The record is from RNAcentral.
GUGAGCUUGAAAAGAAAGAUAGUUUAUCUCCCUCCCUCGCUUCAUCCCCGCACUCUUCCUUAAAGCCACAUCCCUCAGUGCAGAAGCCUGGCCGUCCGCAGCCUGUGGUGCACGUGCGGGGCCCAUCUGUGCCGGGUGUUUGUCAUUAUUAAGUGACCCUGAUGAGAAUAACCUUGCACGGCUGGGAGCAACUCAGCAUUCUUCUUGGUCACCAAUUUUCCUUCCAAGCCAAUUGCUCAAAGCAACCAAAUACCAAAGUUUUCGUCAGAAUGCCUCGCUCCACAUGCACUGAUGAACAACACCUGCUCCUGGGUCACGGGGCCGGCAGCCUGGAUGUGUUUUACGCAGAGGAUGGGGUGGAGACACAGGUGCCGGAAGCUUUUCCCUACCGGGUCCAGCCGUUUGGGUGGAUGCUGGCCGGCCCAGCUCUGGAUGUGUGGGACUGGGCUGUUCCCAGGUGGCUGCCUCUCCUGGUUCUCCGCUGGGAAGUCAACGGCAGACUGAUAAGGUUUUGCCCAGCUCCCUGAAGCCUGGUCUUGGUUAACUGGGAGCGUGUCGUAGGGAGUGGGGUUAGGGAAGAGAUGGGGACAUCUGGUUUUUGUCCUGCCCACUGCUUGGGACAGGAUGGUUCAGUCAGACCACAUUUGCAAAGCGAGAGCCGUCUGUGGAGUCCUGGCCCGUGGGGUCCUGGUGUUGGGUCUCUCUGCCGCCGCCGUGCGUGCUGUGAGGGGAGCACUGUCUUCUGAGAAUGGGAUGGGGAACCACACACAACCAAGGGGCCCCCAAGUCCGCCUGGGAGGGUGGAGGCUGCACCGGGUAGAGUGUGCUGAGGCCAGGGUGGGUG